GUAAUCCUCCCAGGGAUUCCCACCACCCGCACUCCACUCGCAGACUGCGGGCCUUCCUCCGACGCUGGGAGAAGGACCCUGGGAGAGGCAAGGGAAGGGCUCCGGAACCAGCGCAGCAGCGGGACGCUAGCCCGCCCACACGGCGGCCACUUGAAGGACCGGUGGCUCCCGUGGAGACCGCAGCGGAACCCAGUCCGCCUUCGCACGCGUCCGGGGGAGAAGCGGCCCCAGGACUAAGGGCGCGCGCCCGAGGAACCGGUGCUGUGACGACCAGAGCAAACACGCCGGAUGUUCCUGUGUAGGCUGUGUAAGGAGUGACCGGAAGUAGAAACUGGGUGCUCCAGUGGCGCAAUCGGUUAGCGCGCGGUACUUAUAUGGCAGUAUGUGUGCGAGUGAUGCCGAGGUUGUGAGUUCGAGCCUCACCUGGAGCAUUGUUUUCCAACCCAAAAUAGCAUUACUUGAAGUGCCUUUCCCCCUGUAAUCCGACUCCAUCGUCUUUAACGUGUUUGGAAUUGUGUACACAGUUUAUUGUUAUUGGUUUCCUUAGCCUUUUUAGAACCAAGCAACGCCAAUUACCAACAAAAUCCGUUGCGCCGCAGUGAGUUAGCUACCUUCUAUCUCCACUUUGUUCUGCACGUCGAUCUCAGGAGAAGCCAGCUCCCAUGUUAAGAAGUUCAAAUACCUAGAGACUGCGAUGGUUUGCAGAGGCUCAAGCUAACCACAUGGAAAGACAUGGAGAGAUAUUCCUUGCCAACCCUCAACUACUCCAACUAUUCUAAGACAUCAAACCUAAAAACAAACCGCAGGUCACCCACCGGUCUGAAGAGGAGGAUGAGAGACAAAGAAAAAAGUUGUCUGGCUGCCUCUGCUGUCUACAGAUUGAAGAAGAUCCAUCCAGCUGAGCCCAGCCUAGACCAGCUGACUUCUCCAAUAAGCCUGUAUGAAAUAAAUGCUUAUUGUUAUGUGACCUUGAGCUUUGAAGAUA
This 985-nucleotide long non-coding RNA is filed under the name Homo sapiens (human). Its description in RNAcentral is "long intergenic non-protein coding RNA 240". The stretch from base 338 to 431 matches the Rfam family "tRNA". Lineage: Eukaryota; Metazoa; Chordata; Mammalia; Primates; Hominidae. The record is from RNAcentral.